AUUGAACGCUGGCGGCAUGCCUUACACAUGCAAGUCGAACGGCAGCACGGGGGCAACCCUGGUGGCGAGUGGCGAACGGGUGAGUAAUGCAUCGGAACGUGCCCCGUAGCGGGGGAUAACCAGUCGAAAGACUGGCUAAUACCGCAUACGCUCCACGGAGGAAAGCAGGGGAUCGCAAGACCUUGCACUAUGGGAGCGGCCGAUGCCCGAUUAGCUAGUUGGUGAGGUAAAGGCUCACCAAGGCGACGAUCGGUAGCUGGUUUGAGAGAACGACCAGCCACACUGGGACUGAGACACGGCCCAGACUCCUACGGGAGGCAGCAGUGGGGAAUUUUGGACAAUGGGCGCAAGCCUGAUCCAGCCAUGCCGCGUGCGGGAUGAAGGCCUCGGUU
Molecule: ribosomal RNA, 392 nt
Filed under: uncultured bacterium
Lineage: Bacteria
Description: bacterial SSU rRNA
Rfam family: Bacterial small subunit ribosomal RNA
Source: RNAcentral